UGCUGGAAGCUUGCGUUCCUCUUCCUGAACCUAAGGUAAAAAUACCCAAUAAAAGCUACAAUCCCAGUAACCACGCAGAUGCCAAAGAAUAUCCCUGUCCCAGCUGCGGUGUGGAGAGGAGCCUGGAAGCAAGAGAGAGGGUUGCCACACCAGACAAGGCGGGGAGAGUGGAAGAAAGACAGAAGAAACAUUGGUUUGAAUGAAACUGGAUCUAUGCUGGAGAACUGAGACACUCGCUUUACUGGACAAUUUGUCUAAGACUCAGGAUGGUACAGCAUUAGAAGACCCAGUUGAAGAUUCACAUGAAGUGAAAGAUAGAUUUUGCACUGGAGGUGGGAUUUUGAAACUCUGCAGAAAGCCUGCAUGAGAUUCUUCAUGUGGACUUUGGUGGAUCUCCCAGACUGGGUUGCAGAAACCUCAAGAUGCAGAGCAGCAACAGGAAGAAGAGGAGGAAGAAGAACAAGUCGUUCAUAUUAAUUCAAAACUAAAGAAGGCUUAACUCCAUCUGCCAAGGCACUGAAAAUACAACCAUCUCUGGCUUCCAAGUUGGUGAAUCACUGAGGCUUUUUCUGCUGAUGGCUUUUUAAUGGUAAGAGACUGAAAAGUGUCCAGUGACCCACAGGUCGAUUGACAGAGCAUCUUGGAAGAAAACAUAGUUGCAAAGCCAGAUUUUAGAGAUUGUUGACUAUUAUGUAACAGAUGGCCUGACAGACCUCCGACUCUUUGCAGUGAUGGCUAGCUUGGCGCAGAAAAUAGCAGCACUGGAGU
This is a long non-coding RNA of Neopsephotus bourkii (Bourke's parrot), 768 nucleotides long. RefSeq lists it as uncharacterized. The record is from RefSeq and is a predicted model, not a curated record. The transcript is spliced from 6 exons. NCBI's taxonomy places the organism in Eukaryota, Metazoa, Chordata, Aves, Psittaciformes, Psittacidae.